AUGACAGCCUGCAACUUACUUGCUUCCAGCACACUAGUAACACAUUCUAAGGUUCGUAAUCGGCUACUUCAGAGCGUUGUUGCUAUUCUGUGGGUAAAGGUCCUCAUUUUGUUGAUGGUGGCAUCUUACAAAGAAAAGAAAGUUCGAGAUGGGAACACUUGUUUCAAAUGCUCUCCUCCCAUUCGCGAUGCUGCCAACAAGGAAAACCUCUGGGAAGCUCUGCUGUACAAACACAUCAGCGCAGUGAGUAAGGAUGUGGCACCUUGA
RNAcentral lists this ribosomal RNA (267 nucleotides) under Triticum aestivum (bread wheat). RNAcentral's name for it is "partial small subunit ribosomal RNA". Lineage: Eukaryota; Viridiplantae; Streptophyta; Magnoliopsida; Poales; Poaceae. The record is from RNAcentral.